RNAcentral lists this long non-coding RNA (348 nucleotides) under Capra hircus (goat). RNAcentral's name for it is "lncRNA (ENSCHIG00000001222.1)". Lineage: Eukaryota; Metazoa; Chordata; Mammalia; Artiodactyla; Bovidae. The record is from RNAcentral.
GAGGAAGACAGCAGACUCGAUGGCUUAGCUAAAGCAAGCCUGGUACUUCCCUCAAGCAGCUUGUGGAUUGUAGAUUCCUGCUAGGCCCUCCAGAACCAGCCCAAGGUCUCUUCCCCCAGAUCUGUCUGCUCUCAGCAUUUUCUCCAGAAAGUGCUGCUGUCUCCUUGCCUUCCUCUGGAGUGGAGUUGGGACUCAGGCGCUCAUGAUAAGACUCACCAUCUCUUCCACCUAAACUGCUGGGCAAGGGAGCAAGCUCUGAAGAUGAGGCACAGUCGCACCUAUUCUUGUUGGCCACCUGGCUGCCACAGGUAUGAAGUGACAGAGAAGGAGGAGCUCAGCUCCUAUUCU